GUAAUGGCAACGGCAACGGCGGCUAUGGUUUUACUGCAUUGCGAAGCAGCCAGUCAGGCAGCCAGCCAGCCGGGGCAGGCAGCGCCAAAUAACCCAACCGAAUGGGCUCGUUCAUCGUCGUUGUCGGUUGUUUGCGUUUUGCACCGAUGCAGCUUUAUUCGCUUAUCGUUCGAGUGGCGGCCACAGCUUAAUCUCACGAUUGCAACGACUAUGCAAUUGUAAACUUUUGGCCGCGUGCAUAUGUAUGCAACUUGUUGUUGGCAUUUCUCUCAUCAACCAUGCAACCAUGCAACCAUGCAACCAUGCCGCCAUAUACUCGGAGCUUUUUUCUAUGCACAAUGACAGCAAACAAUAGCGGCAAAUAGCGAAUGCAGCAACAGCAAUGCAGCUUGGUCGGGUGCCUACACAUUACUAGCAAAAUGGCAGUAAAAAUCCAUCAAGGACAUUGCUGUUUGGUGUGCGGAUUGCAAAGCAGCAACGGCGCUAUAAAGAAUUCAACUCACCGCAUACGAGUUCGAGUCGGUCCAACGGUGGGUUGUCGCCAGCCACCGUCUUUGGUUGCAUAUUCGUGGUGAUUUCCAUGCAAUCUGGCAACGUUACAGCGUACAGGUGUAUACGAAAUUCAAAUCCAAUUGACUAUGCAAUCGAUUAAUGGCAGUUGAAUUUAAAAUAUUAACAUUUUAAGGGAGAAGAGCUGGUGAUUUGUUGAUGUAGUUGGUCGAAGACCCAUAAGAAAAAACGUUAACCUUGGUUGCACCUACGUAUAAUACCAUUCACAAAUAAAAAUGUUUCCAUAACCAUUUCCACAAGAACUUGACCCGUCAGUUUGUCUGACAUCUAUGGGAUAUGGUAAAUAGAAGUCCGUACGAACAAUUUAUAUCGGAGAUUGUACCGUUGAGUUGGGUUUAAGAAAGCUUAGAUUUGAAAUUGUAAAAAAAAAUUUAUUUCAAUAAAAUUUAUAAAAUAAAUAUAAUAUCAUCAUAUGACAACAAUCCAAAUAAGAAUAAGGAGGCUUAUAACUGUAAAUAUUUUUUAAAUAGGGUUGCCACCUAUUCACAUUUUUGAAUCAGUUAAAUUAAUUCCAUAAAGUCACUAUGUAUGAUGUACAAGUAGGGUUUGUAAGCUUACAGUUUAAAAAUUUUUUUAUUAGGGCGGGGUGCAUUCAGGGUUGCGAAUUUUAUAUUUAACAAUUUUUGGAUUAAAAAUUAAAUUUUUAUUUUUUAACUAAAAAUUUAUUUUUUAUUUUUAAUCGCGAUCUUGGUACCUAAAAUUAGAUUUUCAUUUUGUAAUCCCGAUGUUGGGAAAAUAUGAUUUGAAUAUACACAAAAAAAUAUUAAUUCUUAAAC
Non-coding RNA from Bactrocera oleae (olive fruit fly), 1346 nucleotides. Lineage: Eukaryota; Metazoa; Arthropoda; Insecta; Diptera; Tephritidae. The record is from RefSeq and is a predicted model, not a curated record.